UUCGGAGACACCGGUGACAGGUGGUGCAUGGUUGUCGUCAGCUCGUGUCGUGAGAUGUUGGGUUAAGUCCCGCAACGAGCGCAACCCUUGGCCUUAGUUGCCAGCAUUCAGUUGGGCACUCUAAGGCGACUGCCGGUGACAAACCGGAGGAAGGUGGGGAUGACGUCAAAUCAUCAUGCCCCUUAUGCCCUGGGCUACACACGUGCUACAAUGGGCGGUACAAAGGGUUGCGAACCCGCGAGGGGGAGCUAAUCCCAAAAAGCCGCUCUCAGUUCGGAUUGCAGGCUGCAACUCGCCUGCAUGAAGCCGGAAUCGCUAGUAAUCGCGGAUCAGCAUGCCGCGGUGAAUACGUUCCCGGGCCUUGUCACACCGCCCGUCACACCACGAGAGUCUGUAACACCCGAAGUCGGUGAGGU
This 416-nucleotide ribosomal RNA is filed under the name uncultured Bacillota bacterium. Its description in RNAcentral is "bacterial SSU rRNA". It matches the Rfam family "Bacterial small subunit ribosomal RNA", at positions 1018 to 1436 of the family's 1533-position model. The record is from RNAcentral. Lineage: Bacteria; Bacillati; Bacillota.